Molecule: unclassified non-coding RNA, 334 nt
Filed under: soil metagenome
Description: partial contains 5.8S ribosomal RNA, internal transcribed spacer 2, and large subunit ribosomal RNA
Rfam family: 5.8S ribosomal RNA (bases 1-120)
Source: RNAcentral
GAUGAAGAACGCAGCGAAAUGCGAUAAGUAAUGUGAAUUGCAGAAUUCAGUGAAUCAUCGAAUCUUUGAACGCACAUUGCGCCCCCCAGUAUUCUGGCGGGCAUGCCUGUUCGAGCGUCAUUUCAACCAUCAAGCCCUGCUUGUGUUGGGGACCUGCGGCUGCCGCAGGCCCUGAAAAGCAGUGGCGGGCUCGCUGUCACACCGAGCGUAGUAGCAUACAUCUCGCUCUGGGCGUGCUGCGGGUUCCGGCCGUUAAACCACCUUCAUAACCCAAGGUUGACCUCGGAUCAGGUAGGAAGACCCGCUGAACUUAAGCAUAUCAAUAAGCGGAGGA